Long non-coding RNA from Notolabrus celidotus (New Zealand spotty), 406 nucleotides. RefSeq lists it as uncharacterized. The transcript is spliced from 2 exons. Lineage: Eukaryota; Metazoa; Chordata; Actinopteri; Labriformes; Labridae. The record is from RefSeq and is a predicted model, not a curated record.
AUAGGGCGGCGACCUGAAUCCCUCCUUGUUGGGUGUCCCAUCGGCGCCGAGCACAGCGAGCCCCAGCAGUAAAGUUGCCGCCGACCACCAUCUGGCUGUCUUCAUUGGUCUUCUCCUGUCAAAAACCAAACAAGAAUGGAAAAACACUGAGCUGUACUUUCUAAGACGUCUAGAGCCACCAGUGUGUGCUCAUCAUCCUCCAGCCAAGAGAGAUGACUGACAGCAGGAUGGUGACCCUGCGUUCCUGUUCUUCCGGAGUGACACUGAGUCGGACAUCAAUGGCACUGUAGUGGAACCUCAGUAGGCCCACGUGCUUUUCACUGGAGGUCGGGAGGUCGUGCCGGAAAAAGCAACGUGUCACUUUGAUGUGACGGACCGAAAGAGAACAUAAAGUUUCUUUUUGUGA